ACAUGCAAGUCGAGCGGUAGCACAGAGAGCUUGCUCUCGGGUGACGAGCGGCGGACGGGUGAGUAAUGUCUGGGAAACUGCCUGAUGGAGGGGGAUAACUACUGGAAACGGUAGCUAAUACCGCAUAACGUCGCAAGACCAAAGUGGGGGACCUUCGGGCCUCAUGCCAUCAGAUGUGCCCAGAUGGGAUUAGCUGGUAGGUGGGGUAACGGCUCACCUAGGCGACGAUCCCUAGCUGGUCUGAGAGGAUGACCAGCCACACUGGAACUGAGACACGGUCCAGACUCCUACGGGAGGCAGCAGUGGGGAAUAUUGCACAAUGGGCGCAAGCCUGAUGCAGCCAUGCCGCGUGUGUGAAGAAGGCCUUCGGGUUGUAAAGCACUUUCAGCGGGGAGGAAGGCGGUGAGGUUAAUAACCUCAUCGAUUGACGUUACCCGCAGAAGAAGCACCGGCUAACUCCGUGCCAGCAGCCGCGGUAAUACGGAGGGUGCAAGCGUUAAUCGGAAUUACUGGGCGUAAAGCGCACGCAGGCGGUCUGUCAAGUCGGAUGUGAAAUCCCCGGGCUCAACCUGGGAACUGCAUUCGAAACUGGCAGGCUAGAGUCUUGUAGAGGGGGGUAGAAUUCCAGGUGUAGCGGUGAAAUGCGUAGAGAUCUGGAGGAAUACCGGUGGCGAAGGCGGCCCCCUGGACAAAGACUGACGCUCAGGUGCGAAAGCGUGGGGAGCAAACAGGAUUAGAUACCCUGGUAGUCCACGCUGUAAACGAUGUCGAUUUGGAGGUUGUGCCCUUGAGGCGUGGCUUCCGGAGCUAACGCGUUAAAUCGACCGCCUGGGGAGUACGGCCGCAAGGUUAAAACUCAAAUGAAUUGACGGGGGCCCGCACAAGCGGUGGAGCAUGUGGUUUAAUUCGAUGCAACGCGAAGAACCUUACCUGGUCUUGACAUCCACAGAACUUUCCAGAGAUGGAUUGGUGCCUUCGGGAACUGUGA
RNAcentral lists this ribosomal RNA (988 nucleotides) under Klebsiella pneumoniae. RNAcentral's name for it is "bacterial SSU rRNA". It matches the Rfam family "Bacterial small subunit ribosomal RNA", at positions 53 to 1032 of the family's 1533-position model. Lineage: Bacteria; Pseudomonadati; Pseudomonadota; Gammaproteobacteria; Enterobacterales; Enterobacteriaceae. The record is from RNAcentral.